RNAcentral lists this ribosomal RNA (432 nucleotides) under uncultured bacterium. Its description in RNAcentral is "partial 16S ribosomal RNA". It matches the Rfam family "Bacterial small subunit ribosomal RNA", at positions 29 to 507 of the family's 1533-position model. The record is from RNAcentral.
AACGAACGCUGGCGGCAUGCCUAACACAUGCAAGUCGAACGAGACCUUCGGGUCUAGUGGCGCACGGUUGCGUAACGCGUGGGAACCUGCCCUUAGGUUCGGAAUAACUCCCCGAAAGGGGUGCUAAUACCGGAUAAUGUCUUCGGACCAAAGAUUUAUCGCCUUUGGAUGGGCCCGCGUUGGAUUAGCUAGUUGGUAGGGUAAAAGCCUACCAAGGCGACGAUCCAUAGCUGGUCUGAGAGGAUGAUCAGCCACACUGGGACUGAGACACGGCCCAGACUCCUACGGGAGGCAGCAGUGGGGAAGAUUGGACAAUGGGCGAAAGCCUGAUCCAGCAAUGCCGCGUGAGUGAUGAAGGCCUUAGGGUUGUAAAGCUCUUUACCCGGGAUGAUAAUGACAGUACCGGGAGAAUAAGCUCCGGCUAACUCCGUG